Molecule: ribosomal RNA, 468 nt
Filed under: uncultured bacterium
Lineage: Bacteria
Description: partial 16S ribosomal RNA
Rfam family: Bacterial small subunit ribosomal RNA
Source: RNAcentral
GACGAACGCUGGCGGCGUGCUUAACACAUGCAAGUCGAACGGAAAGGCCCAGCUUUUGUGGGGUGCUCGAGUGGCGAACGGGUGAGUAACACGUGAGUAACCUGCCCUUGACUUUGGGAUAACUUCAGGAAACUGGGGCUAAUACCGGAUAGGAGCUCCUGCUGCAUGGUGGGGGUUGGAAAGUUUCGGCGGUUGGGGAUGGACUCGCGGCUUAUCAGCUUGUUGGUGGGGUAGUGGCUUACCAAGGCUUUGACGGGUAGCCGGCCUGAGAGGGUGACCGGCCACAUUGGGACUGAGAUACGGCCCAGACUCCUACGGGAGGCAGCAGUGGGGAAUAUUGCACAAUGGGCGGAAGCCUGAUGCAGCAACGCCGCGUGCGGGAUGACGGCCUUCGGGUUGUAACCCGCUUUCGCCUGUGACGAAGCGUGAGUGACGGUAAUGGGUAAAGAAGCACCGGCUAACUACGUG